Molecule: long non-coding RNA, 1017 nt
Organism: Ictalurus punctatus (channel catfish)
Lineage: Eukaryota; Metazoa; Chordata; Actinopteri; Siluriformes; Ictaluridae
Source: Ensembl
AGGAACAUUGCUGUAAUGUUGCUUUAAUGUUGUAUGUAGGUUCUGCUUCAGUACUAGAAGAUGGAGGAGAGGAACAUUGCUGUAACGUUUCUGUAACUUUGUGUGGGUUCUGCCUCAGUACUAGAAGAUGGAGGAGAGGAACAUAGCUGUAACGUUGCUGUAAUGUUGUGUAUAGGUUCUGCCUCAGUACUAGAAGAUGGAGGAGAGAACGUUGCUGUAACUUUGUGUAUAGGUUCUGCUUCAGUACUAGAAGAUGGAGGAGAGGAACAUUGCUGUAACGUUGCUGUAACUUUGUGUGUGGGUUCUGCUUCAGUACUAGAAGAUGGAGGAGAGGAACAUUGCUGUAACGUUGCUGUAACUUUGUGUGUAGGUUCUGCCUUAGUACUAGACGAUGAAGGAGAGGAACAUUGCUGUAACGUUGUGUGUAGGUUCUGCUUCAGUACUAGAAGAUGGAGGAGAGGAACAUUGCUGUAACGUUGCUGUAACUUUGUGUGUAGGUUCUGCCUUAGUACUAGAGGAUGGAGGAGAGGAACAUUGCUGUAACUUUGUGUGUAGGUUCUGCCUUAGUACUAGAAGAUGGAAGAGGGAACACAGCUGUAAUGUUGCUUUAACGUUGUGUGUAGGUUCUGCCUCAGUUCCAGCAGAUGGAGGAGAAGAACAGGCUUCUGCGCUCGGUUGCAGGAGGAGGCGUUGACUCAAUCAGCUCGCUCAGAGCAAAAGUGGGACAAAUUCGAGCUGAUAAUGGAGAGUCACCAGCUGAUGAUCAGAGAACAGGUGGAGGUGAUGAAGAGCAGCGUGUCGGGCCGGGUCAGUGUGUACUUACGGGAGCUGCAGAAGUUCCGCUCUCGUUGGGAUCAGCUCCGACCCGCCGAUGAUGUCAUUGAGUCAUGUGACCCUGAUGCCUUGCAGCGAUGCGUGGAGCGAGUGAGAGAGAAGAGGGAGGAGUUUAAUGAGCUCGAGAACACGCGCACAAAGCUGCUGUAUGACGCACACAUGCACACACCCUCUCUCUCUCUC